This is a small nuclear RNA of Echinops telfairi (small Madagascar hedgehog), 107 nucleotides long. Lineage: Eukaryota; Metazoa; Chordata; Mammalia; Afrosoricida; Tenrecidae. The record is from Ensembl.
GUGCUCACUUCGGCAGCACAUACACUAAAAUUGGAACGAUACAGAGAAGAUUAGCAAGGCCCCUACACAAGGAUGGCACGCAAACUUGUGAAGCAUUCUAUAUUUUU